Cercocebus atys (sooty mangabey) is the source of this 56-nucleotide unclassified non-coding RNA. NCBI's taxonomy places the organism in Eukaryota, Metazoa, Chordata, Mammalia, Primates, Cercopithecidae. The record is from Ensembl.
UAGUCCAAAAGGUCUUUCCUGUUUACUAUGGCCUUGAGGAAUGUGGCCCUAGAUCC